This 245-nucleotide ribosomal RNA is filed under the name uncultured bacterium. RNAcentral's name for it is "partial 16S ribosomal RNA". It matches the Rfam family "Bacterial small subunit ribosomal RNA", at positions 524 to 768 of the family's 1533-position model. The record is from RNAcentral.
UACGAAGGGGGCUAGCGUUGUUCGGAAUUACUGGGCGUAAAGCGCAUGUAGGCGGGUCGUUAAGUCGGGGGUGAAAGCCCAGAGCUCAACUCUGGAACUGCCUUCGAUACUGGCGACCUGGACCCAAGGAGAGGCGAGUGGAAUUGCGAGUGUAGAGGUGAAAUUCGUAGAUAUUCGCAGGAACACCAGUGGCGAAGGCGACUCGCUGGACUUGUGGUGACGCUGAGAUGCGAAAGCGUGGGGAG